CGGCCGCGGCGGCCGCAGAUGCCCAUUGGACCGGCUUGGCGCUCACCUGGGGCCGCACCAGCUCUGUCCCCACCCGGCCUGGUGCCCGGAGGCGCGGGAAUCCGGCCGCCGCGAGUGUGGCUAAAAGCUGGGCUUCGGGACAGCGGGAGACUCAGAAUAUGGCAAAAGAUUUCUGCGUGGUGUGCACGAGACACAGGCAUAAAGAACGCGUGUGCGCGCUCCCGGUACUUAACAAUUGGGAGAUUAAUAAAUUAUUCAUGAACGUAUUUGACAGGAUUAUUAAAAAUUUUUAUGCUGCUGUGAAUAAAUACCUUUCGAAAGCAUUCUGUCAUAUAAA
Molecule: non-coding RNA, 337 nt
Organism: Rattus norvegicus (Norway rat)
Lineage: Eukaryota; Metazoa; Chordata; Mammalia; Rodentia; Muridae
Source: RefSeq, a predicted model, not a curated record